Molecule: long non-coding RNA, 285 nt
Organism: Bradysia coprophila
Lineage: Eukaryota; Metazoa; Arthropoda; Insecta; Diptera; Sciaridae
Source: RefSeq, a predicted model, not a curated record
GGAAUCCAUCUUUUUACGAAAUAUAACGUAAAGGCGUAUUGUUUGAUCCUGAGGAAUUCAUCCUUUUACGAAAUGUAACGUAACGGGAGUUUAUUCGAUCUUAGGGAAUUCAUCCUUCUGGAAAAUGUAAAGGUGGAGUUUUUGAUCCUAAGGAAUUCAUCCAUUUACGAAAUGUAACGUAAAAGGAGUUUGUUCGAUCUUAGGGAAUUUAUCCUAUUGAGAAAUGUAACGUAAAGGCGAAUUGUUCGAUACCUUUACGUUACAUUUAGUAAAAAGAUGAAUUCU